RNAcentral lists this unclassified non-coding RNA (253 nucleotides) under uncultured Gammaproteobacteria bacterium. Its description in RNAcentral is "contains 16S-23S intergenic spacer region". It matches the Rfam family "Bacterial small subunit ribosomal RNA", at positions 524 to 776 of the family's 1533-position model. The record is from RNAcentral. Lineage: Bacteria; Pseudomonadati; Pseudomonadota; Gammaproteobacteria.
UACGGAGGGUGCAAGCGUUAAUCGGAAUUACUGGGCGUAAAGCGCGCGUAGGUGGUUUGGUAAGUCGGGUGUGAAAGCCCUGGGCUCAACCUGGGAAUUGCAUUCGAUACUGCCUGACUAGAGUGUGGUAGAGGGAAGUGGAAUUCCGCAUGUAGCGGUGAAAUGCGUAGAGAUGCGGAGGAACACCAAUGGCGAAGGCAACUUCCUGGACCAACACUGACACUGAGGUGCGAAAGCGUGGGUAGCAAACAGG